Molecule: long non-coding RNA, 1565 nt
Organism: Lathyrus oleraceus (garden pea)
Lineage: Eukaryota; Viridiplantae; Streptophyta; Magnoliopsida; Fabales; Fabaceae
Exons: 3
Source: RefSeq, a predicted model, not a curated record
AUGCCAAAAAUGAAAAAAAGGAUAUGAUGGAAAUGUGUGGCGUUGAGUCAGCAGAGAAAAGGCAUUAAUAUGAUCUUUAAUGAGUAAAAGUUAUUUAAGGCACGUGUAAAGUAUUGGAAUGCAAAUGUUCAAAUUCAAAAUGGAAGAAAGUGUCUCAUCUCUUACUCAACACCGUUUCUGUUUCUCCCUCCGUCGUGCAGGAGGCUGUCUCCGGCGGCGGAGGCGCCUCUCCACUUGAAUAAAUAACAUCAAACUAACCGAAAUCAUGCGAGGAGUCUGAAUCCACCAAUGAAUUUUUCUAAUUCCUUAUGAACUAUUCGAGUCGAAACAAAAGUUGACGAACCUUAAACACCUAAUUCUUUAAAUCAGGUGCUCCAAUGGAGUAAUCAAAGUCCCCAUAGUUAGGGGUUUGAUCCUUAUUCCCGAAAACUGCACCAUGGUAUUAAUAGUGAUGGUGAAUAUACAGUGAAAGAGAACGUACCGACGAAGACCGGUGUGGGGCGAACUCGAAGCACCACAGGGAUGAUGAAGACGACCGCGACGGACCAACUCUGUUCAGGUUAAAGAUUGGUGAAUAGUUGAAUUUUGGACAUUGUCGCGGGUUCUCGAGUUAGAGUGAACUGGUGGUUCAAGAGGUUGAAACGCAUUUCGUAGAUGAAUGCCAUUUCAGACUGGUUGGGAAUGUGAGCUACAAAUUAAAGUCUACAUUCCAAAACAUGUUAUGGACUUGGGGAUUGUAGAGCUAUGUUUCCCAUGAUUUCAAAGAUGCCAGGAAAGGGGACACCGCGUACGACUUAAAACCAGUGAUCUCAUGAGAUAUCACUCUGUCACUUGAAGGUAGAAGGUUAUCAAGUCGUUGCCAUGCAAUUUUACUGAUUUCCUUUUGGUUUGCAGGGCCAAUUAUGUAUCAUCUUCAACACUAGCAACAAAGUAAAGUCGCGUUCUCUGUUGUCCAAAAAUAACUCAGAGGUAUUCAUCCUUGUUAAGAAGUUUUUGAAACAUAAACCUGUUUUGUCGGAGACUUGAUGCUCUUAGCCUUCACGCUCUCAACCAGAACUUUCUUUGUAGCAACAACUUUCUUCCUUGGUGUUGUCUUUACAGAUGUCUUAGCAACCUUCGUCGACUUCACCUCAGACUUCGGCUUCACAACUGCCUUGGGCUUGACAACAACUUUCUCCUUGGCAACAAUAGGCUUAGUCUUAGCCGUGGCAGUUCUGGGCUUGAUUGUGGGUUUUUUGUGGGCUUCGCAACUACCGCUUUGACCUUGCAGCGACCUUUGGUUUGGUAACAGCUUUGUCUUUAGGCUUAGUAACUGAUUUAGCCUAAGCAUGGCCUUGGAAACUGUCUUUGUUUGUUGCAGAAUUCAUAUGCCAAUGUUGCAGGAUGGACUAUAGCGACGAUACUCAAUGUAUGAUGGAUUAGCAGACCGGUUGGUUUGUUGGCUUGGUAUUGUCACUUAGGCAUGUCAUUUGAAUGGUUGGUCCAUGUUGUAAUGUGGUUUGGAUUGGUAAUGAAUUGGUAUGAUAUGAUUUUAAUGGAUAUGAAUAUUGGAUAUUGAUUAGUUA